RNAcentral lists this ribosomal RNA (440 nucleotides) under uncultured bacterium. RNAcentral's name for it is "partial 16S ribosomal RNA". It matches the Rfam family "Bacterial small subunit ribosomal RNA", at positions 338 to 795 of the family's 1533-position model. The record is from RNAcentral.
CCUACGGGAGGCAGCAGUAGGGAAUAUUGCUCAAUGGGGGAAACCCUGAAGCAGCAACGCCGCGUGGAGGAUGAAGGUUUUCGGAUUGUUAACUCCUUUUGUUAGAGAAGAUAAUGACGGUAUCUAACGAAUAAGCACCGGCUAACUCCGUGCCAGCAGCCGCGGUAAUACGGAGGGUGCAAGCGUUACUCGGAAUCACUGGGCGUAAAGAGCGCGUAGGCGGGAUAGCAAGUCAGAUGUGAAAUCCUAUGGCUUAACCAUAGAACUGCAUUUGAAACUGUUAUUCUAGAGUAUGGGAGAGGUAGGUGGAAUUCUUGGUGUAGGGGUAAAAUCCGUAGAGAUCAAGAGGAAUACUCAUUGCGAAGGCGACCUGCUAGAACAUAACUGACGCUGAUGCGCGAAAGCGUGGGGAGCAAACAGGAUUAGAUACCCCAGUAGUC